RNAcentral lists this ribosomal RNA (587 nucleotides) under uncultured bacterium. Its description in RNAcentral is "bacterial SSU rRNA". It matches the Rfam family "Bacterial small subunit ribosomal RNA", at positions 338 to 916 of the family's 1533-position model. The record is from RNAcentral.
CCUACGGGAGGCAGCAGUGGGGAAUUUUGGACAAUGGGCGAAAGCCUGAUCCAGCCAUGCCGCGUGAGUGAAGAAGGCCUUCGGGUUGUAAAGCUCUUUCAGCCGGAAAGAAAUCGCGCAGGAUAAUACUCUGCGUGGAUGACGGUACCGGAAGAAGAAGCACCGGCUAACUACGUGCCAGCAGCCGCGGUAAUACGUAGGGUGCGAGCGUUAAUCGGAAUUACUGGGCGUAAAGCGUGCGCAGGCGGUUAUGUAAGACAGAUGUGAAAUCCCCGGGCUCAACCUGGGAACUGCGUUUGUGACUGCAUAACUAGAGUACGGCAGAGGGAGGUGGAAUUCCGCGUGUAGCAGUGAAAUGCGUAGAUAUGCGGAGGAACACCGAUGGCGAAGGCAGCCUCCUGGGCCAGUACUGACGCUCAUGCACGAAAGCGUGGGGAGCAAACAGGAUUAGAUACCCUGGUAGUCCACGCCCUAAACGAUGUCAACUAGUUGUUCGGUGAGGAGACUCAUUGAGUAACGCAGCUAACGCGUGAAGUUGACCGCCUGGGGAGUACGGCCGCAAGGUUAAAACUCAAAUGAAUUGACGG